This 26-nucleotide non-coding RNA is filed under the name Rattus norvegicus (Norway rat). Lineage: Eukaryota; Metazoa; Chordata; Mammalia; Rodentia; Muridae. The record is from RNAcentral.
CCUGUGUACCUACUACGUCCCUUCUC